RNAcentral lists this ribosomal RNA (253 nucleotides) under uncultured bacterium. Its description in RNAcentral is "partial 16S ribosomal RNA". It matches the Rfam family "Bacterial small subunit ribosomal RNA", at positions 524 to 776 of the family's 1533-position model. The record is from RNAcentral.
UACGGGGGGGGCAAGCGUUGUUCGGAAUUACUGGGCGUAAAGGGCUCGUAGGUGGCCAACUAAGUCAGGGGUGAAAUCCCGGAGCUCAACUCCGGAACUGCCUUUGAUACUGGGUGUCUUGAGUGUGGAAGAGGUGAGUGGAAUUCCGAGUGUAGAGGUGAAAUUCGUAGAUAUUCGGAGGAACACCAGUGGCGAAGGCGGCUCACUGGUCCAUUACUGACGCUGAGGUGCGAAAGCGUGGGGAGCAAACAGG